This 312-nucleotide RNase P RNA is filed under the name Halobacteriales archaeon QH_1_68_42. RNAcentral's name for it is "RNase P RNA component". It matches the Rfam family "Archaeal RNase P". Rfam says of the family: Ribonuclease P (RNase P) is a ubiquitous endoribonuclease, found in archaea, bacteria and eukarya as well as chloroplasts and mitochondria. Its best characterised activity is the generation of mature 5'-ends of tRNAs by cleaving the 5'-leader elements of precursor-tRNAs. The record is from RNAcentral. Lineage: Archaea; Methanobacteriati; Methanobacteriota; Halobacteria; Halobacteriales.
GGCAGAGGGAGCCCGGCCACCGUGUCCCGGCCCGCGGCGACGCAGUCGCCACGCCAGGGACAUGAGGAAAGUCCCCCCACCGUCCGGGCAGGUGACCGGGUGCAAACCCGGAGCGGGAGACCGCUGGCGCUGGAACAGAAACGAGACCCCUCUCCCCGACCGAUGAGGCGCGCGAACCCCGAGCGCCACGGGAGAGAACGGAUGGAACGGCGAAUCCUCACCGGUGCAAGCCCGCGCGACAGGUAGCCCGGACGCGGCGCGGGCGCUCAGCCGAAUGCCGGUAGAACAGAAGGGGGCUUACUCCCCUCGGCC